GAGUUUGAUCAUGGCUCAGAACGUACGCUGGCGGCACGCCUAACACAUGCAAGUCGAACGAAGUAGCAAUACUUAGUGGCAGACGGGUGAGUAGCAUGUAGGUAUCUGCCCUUUGGCCUGGAAUAACACGAGGAAACUUGUGCUAAUACCGGAUAAGUCUUUACGGAGAAAGCUUUAUGCACCAUUGGAUGAGCCUGCACUUGAUUAGUUUGUUGGUGGGGUAAUGGCCUACCAAGACUGUGAUCAAUAGCUGAUUUGAGAGGAUGAUCAGCCACAUUGGGACUGAGACACGGCCCAAACUCCUACGGGAGGCAGCAGUGGGGAAUCUUGCACAAUGGAGGAAACUCUGAUGCAGCGAUGCCGCGUGAGUGAAGAAGGCCCUUGGGUUGUAAAGCUCUUUCGUCGGGGAAGAAAAUGACUGUACCCGAAUAAGAAGGUCCGGCUAACUUCGUGCCAGCAGCCGCGGUAAUACGAAGGGACCUAGCGUAGUUCGGAAUUACUGGGCUUAAAGAGUUCGUAGGUGGUUGAAAAAGUUAGUGGUGAAAUCCCAGAGCUUAACUCUGGAACUGCCAUUAAAACUUUUCAGCUAGAGUAUGAUAGAGGAAAGCAGAAUUUCUAGUGUAGAGGUGAAAUUCGUAGAUAUUAGAAAGAAUACCAAUUGCGAAGGCAGCUUUCUGGAUCAUUACUGACACUGAGGAACGAAAGCAUGGGUAGCGAAGAGGAUUAGAUACCCUCGUAGUCCAUGCCGUAAACGAUGUGUGUUAGACGUUGGAAAUUUAUUUUCAGUGUCGCAGGGAAACCGAUAAACACACCGCCUGGGGAGUACGACCGCAAGGUUAAAACUCAAAUGAAUUGACGGGGACCCGCACAAGUAGUGGAGCAUGUGGUUUAAUUCGAAGAUACGCGCAGAACCUUACCAACACUUGACAUGUUCGUCGCGACUCUAAGAGAUUAGAGUUUUCGGUUCGGCCGGACGAAACACAGGUGCUGCAUGGCUGUCGUCGGCUCGUGUCGUGAGAUGUUGGGUUAAGUCCCGCAACGAGCGCAACCCUCACUUUUAGUUGCCAUCAUUAAGUUGGGCACUCUGAAAGAACUGCCAGUGAUAAGCUGGAGGAAGGUGGGGAUGACGUCAAGUCCUCAUGGCCCUUACGUGUUGGGCUACACACGUGCUACAAUGGUAUCUACAACAGGAAGCAAGACUGCGAAGUUAAGCAAAUCCCUAAAAGAUACCUCAGUUCGGAUUGCACUCUGCAACUCGAGUGCAUGAAGCUGGAAUUACUAGUAAUCGUGGAUCAGCGUGCCACGGUGAAUGCGUUCCCGGGUCUUGUACACACCGCCCGUCACACCAUGGGAGUUGGUUCUACCUUAAGGCAAGGUUUUAAACCCUUGACCACGGUAUAGUCAGCGACUGGGGUGAAGUCGUAACAAGGUAACC
This 1435-nucleotide ribosomal RNA is filed under the name uncultured marine bacterium. RNAcentral describes it as "bacterial SSU rRNA". It matches the Rfam family "Bacterial small subunit ribosomal RNA". The record is from RNAcentral.